Molecule: ribosomal RNA, 497 nt
Filed under: uncultured bacterium
Lineage: Bacteria
Description: partial 16S ribosomal RNA
Rfam family: Bacterial small subunit ribosomal RNA
Source: RNAcentral
GAUGAACGCUGGCGGCGUGCCUAAUACAUGCAAGUCGAGCGAGCGGACGAGAAGCUUGCUUCUCUGAUGUUAGCGGCGGACGGGUGAGUAACACGUGGAUAACCUACCUAUAAGACUGGGAUAACUUCGGGAAACCGGAGCUAAUACCGGAUAAUAUUUUGAACCGCAUGGUUCAAUAGUGAAAGACGGUCUUGCUGUCACUUAUAGAUGGAUCCGCGCUGCAUUAGCUAGUUGGUAAGGUAACGGCUUACCAAGGCAACGAUGCAUAGCCGACCUGAGAGGGUGAUCGGCCACACUGGAACUGAGACACGGUCCAGACUCCUACGGGAGGCAGCAGUAGGGAAUCUUCCGCAAUGGACGAAAGCCUGACGGAGCAACGCCGCGUGAGUGAUGAAGGUCUUCGGAUCGUAAAACUCUGUUAUUAGGGAAGAACAUAUGUGUAAGUAACUGUGCACAUCUUGACGGUACCUAAUCAGAAAGCCACGGCUAACUACGUG